Molecule: ribosomal RNA, 253 nt
Filed under: uncultured bacterium
Lineage: Bacteria
Description: partial 16S ribosomal RNA
Rfam family: Bacterial small subunit ribosomal RNA
Source: RNAcentral
UACGUAGGGUGCGAGCGUUGUCCGGAAUUAUUGGGCGUAAAGAGCGUGUAGGCGGCUUGGUAGGUCCGCUGUGAAAACUCGAGGCUCAACCUCGAGAUGUCGGCGGAAACCACUUGGCUAGAGUCCGGAAGAGGAGAGUGGAAUUCCCGGUGUAGCGGUGAAAUGCGCAGAUAUCGGGAAGAACACCUAUGGCGAAGGCAGCUCUCUGGGACGGUACUGACGCUGAGACGCGAAAGCGUGGGGAGCGAACAGG